Molecule: non-coding RNA, 610 nt
Organism: Kogia breviceps (pygmy sperm whale)
Lineage: Eukaryota; Metazoa; Chordata; Mammalia; Artiodactyla; Physeteridae
Source: RefSeq, a predicted model, not a curated record
AGGGCUUAGGGGGGACAUGGACAGAGCGGGGCGCUCACUCAGAGGGAGGUUCCACCGAGGAGCCUGUGCGGGAACAGUCAGAAAGGACGAGGGCGAAGCGGCCGAGGAGGGGGUCGCAGAAGCCACGGGAAACGCGCAAAGGAUGCACGCGAGGGCAGCAUCCGACACGGCAGUUGGGAGACUUGAGCAUAUUGAAACGUAGAUAGGAAGGAGAGAUUUGGGAGAAGUUGGCAGUGGGGACAGGGAGACGCUGAGCAGAAAGGACGGCUGAAGCAGUGCAGAAAAGGGAGGCACACAGAGGAGAAGGCGAUGUGAAGACAGAGACUGGUGGUGAUUCGGCCAAGGAAUGCCGGCCACCACCAGGAGCUGGGAGAGGCAAGGGAUGGAUUCUUUUCUAAAGCCGCUGGAGACAGUGUGCCCCGCUAGCACCUCGAGUUCAGCCCAGUGAACUGCAUUGUGACUUCUGGCCUCCAGAACUAGGAGAGAAUACAUUUCGGAUGUUUUAAGCCGUCAGGGUUUGUGGUCGUUUCUUACAGGAGCCACAGGAAACUAACGCACCGUCCAACACCACAGUGUAUGUUAAUUGCCUGUCUUCUCCAUGAGGUUAUGA